GGACUACCGGGGUAUCUAAUCCCAUUCGCGACCCACGCUUUCGUGUUUCAGCGUCAGGAGUGGUCCAGUCUCUUGCCUUCGCUUUCGGUGUUCCCCAUGAUAUCAACGCAUUUCACCGCUACACCAUGAGUUCCAGAGACCCCUACCAUCCUCAAGCAAUGCCGUUUCCCGCGCAGCCUCUAGGUUGAGCCCAGAGAUUUAACGUGAGACUAACAUCGCCGCCUACACACCCUUUACGCCCAAUGAUUCCGGAUAACGCUCGAAGCACUCGUAUUACCGCGGCUGCUGGCAC
This 292-nucleotide ribosomal RNA is filed under the name uncultured bacterium. RNAcentral describes it as "partial 16S ribosomal RNA". The record is from RNAcentral.